This 190-nucleotide small RNA is filed under the name Streptomyces vietnamensis. Its description in RNAcentral is "c-di-AMP sequence". The stretch from base 34 to 190 matches the Rfam family "c-di-AMP riboswitch aptamer (ydaO/yuaA leader)". Rfam says of the family: This family represents a conserved RNA structure found upstream of the ydaO and yuaA genes in Bacillus subtilis and related genes in other bacteria. Lineage: Bacteria; Bacillati; Actinomycetota; Actinomycetes; Kitasatosporales; Streptomycetaceae. The record is from RNAcentral.
CCGGACGGACCGCCGAAUCCUGCCACCGACCGGAAUUCGAACCCACCCGUACGAGGCAGGAGCGGGGGACCCAGGUAAGUACGCCGAUCCCUUCGAAGAAGGACGGCUCGGGGUUAAGUCGCGUGAGAACGCGGCCGGACAUCUCCAGUCCGAACCCGACAGCUCACCUCGCAGGCGCCGGAGAGGAAUU